Molecule: transfer RNA, 77 nt
Filed under: Puniceicoccales bacterium
Lineage: Bacteria; Pseudomonadati; Verrucomicrobiota; Opitutia; Puniceicoccales
Description: tRNA-His
Rfam family: tRNA
About the family: Transfer RNA (tRNA) molecules are approximately 80 nucleotides in length. Their secondary structure includes four short double-helical elements and three loops (D, anti-codon, and T loops).
Source: RNAcentral
GUGGUUGUAGCUCAGUUGGCCAGAGCAUCGGAUUGUGGUUCCGAGGGUCGCCGGUUCGAGCCCGGUCAGCCACCCCA